Molecule: ribosomal RNA, 491 nt
Filed under: uncultured Thermus sp.
Lineage: Bacteria; Thermotogati; Deinococcota; Deinococci; Thermales; Thermaceae
Description: bacterial SSU rRNA
Rfam family: Bacterial small subunit ribosomal RNA
Source: RNAcentral
AAACUUAAAUGAAUUGACGGGGGCCCGCACAAGCAGCGGAGCGUGUGGUUUAAUUCGAUGCUACACGAAGAACCUUACCAGGCCUUGACAUGCUGGGAACCUAGGUGAAAGCCUGGGGUGCCCGCGAGGGAGCCCCAGCACAGGUGCUGCAUGGCCGUCGUCAGCUCGUGUCGUGAGAUGUUGGGUUAAGUCCCGCAACGAGCGCAACCCCUGCCCUUAGUUGCCAGCGGGUUGGGCCGGGCACUCUAAGGGGACUGCCUGCGAAAGCAGGAGGAAAGGCGGGGGACGACGUCUGGUCAUCAUGGCCCUUACGGCCUGGGCGACACACGUGCUACAAUGCCCACUACAGAGCGAGGCGACCCAGUGAUGGGGAGCGAAUCGCAAAAAGGUGGACGUAGUUCGGAUUGGGGUCUGCAACCCGACCCCAUGAAGCCGGAAUCGCUAGUAAUCGCGGAUCAGCCAUGCCGCGGUCGAAUACGUUCCCGGGCCUU